UUGGCUUCAGCUGCAUUCGGGUCUGCUCCCCAAACCUUAGAACCAUUGGCGUGCGUGUUGGAUACCGAAGCAAGUUAGUGGGAAUAUCUAUUGAGGAUGCCCCUUGUCUCCAAAGGUUGCUCCAACUUGGCUUAACUAGGGGCUUGGACAUAUCGAUAAUAUCAGCGCCCAACCUGGAGACCGUGGGCCGCCUUCGCUACGAUGACACUUACGGCUUCAGCUUUAAGGUAGCUUUCACCUUCACGUCUAACCUGCAUUUGUCAGCAGGCAGAAUUCAUAUUUUCUGCAUUUUUAUAUGGCCUGAUGCAAUGUUCUGUUCUUCAUAGGGAUUUCCUACUCUGUUCCCUGUGGUGGCACACACCGUCAAGACUUUAUCUAUCGUUGUUGUUCCUCUCAGUGUGGAUAUGGUUCUUGAUCUCAUGUGUUGCUUUCCCUGCUUGGAGAAGUUGUAUAUCCAG
RNAcentral lists this long non-coding RNA (458 nucleotides) under Triticum aestivum (bread wheat). Its description in RNAcentral is "long non-coding RNA (TAES_LNC015007)". The record is from RNAcentral. Lineage: Eukaryota; Viridiplantae; Streptophyta; Magnoliopsida; Poales; Poaceae.